Long non-coding RNA from Schistocerca piceifrons (Central American locust), 500 nucleotides. RefSeq lists it as uncharacterized. The record is from RefSeq and is a predicted model, not a curated record. The transcript has 3 exons. NCBI's taxonomy places the organism in Eukaryota, Metazoa, Arthropoda, Insecta, Orthoptera, Acrididae.
GGGCGCACUACUUUAUUUUGCUAGUGUUUGACGUGGCGUCGUCCUGCAACCGGAGAAGUGCGCGCGCUUUCCGCGAUCAGCGUAACCUCUUAUCUCACGCGUCAGUUAUCGCUGACUGCCAAAGUUUUUGCGUCGUGUCGGCCUGUCGUUUUGUGGUCUCUGUUUUGGAUGUCAGUGUGAAUAGUGCGGUUUUUGUUUUGAUUCAGUUUGCGUGUUCACUGCCGUUUAUUACUACGCGAGUGUGAUUGACGAGGCAAGAUUAGCAAUUCUUCAGACUUGGAGGACGAAAGGCAGCCGACACGCCGGAACAAGACGAGGAGCGCCGGGACCCGCGAUGCCGCCAUGACAGGGCAGUGGCCGCCCAGGAGCAGGGGUCGCAGGAACAACGUCUGCUGGUAAGCGAUACUUGAUCCGCUCUGCUGAAAAAAUUCACCGUGCUACAGUAUGGGUACGUAAAAGUUCUCCUUAUAGUGCAAUUGUUUCAGUUCACAUUCUGAGGC